Molecule: ribosomal RNA, 345 nt
Filed under: Clostridioides difficile
Lineage: Bacteria; Bacillati; Bacillota; Clostridia; Peptostreptococcales; Peptostreptococcaceae
Description: partial 23S ribosomal RNA
Rfam family: Bacterial large subunit ribosomal RNA
Source: RNAcentral
AAAUCCGCCAUGAUAAUGCUGGGAUGUGAUGGGGAGCGAAAUUUAGUAGCGAAGUAGCUGAUUUCACACUGUCAAGAAAAGUCUCUAUCGAGGUUAAAGGUACCCGUACCGCAAACCGACACAGGUGGGUGAGGAGAGUAUCCUAAGGCCAGCGAGAGAACUGUUGUUAAGGAACUCGGCAAAAUGACCCCGUAACUUAGGGAUAAGGGGUGCCACCAUCAGGUGGCCGCAGAGAAUAGGCCCAAGCGACUGUUUACCAAAAACAUAGGUUUCUGCUAAGUCGCAAGACGAUGUAUAGGAGCUGACGCCUGCCCGGUGCUGGAAGGUUAAGGGGAUCUGUUAGAG